RNA transcript from Theobroma cacao (cacao), 1064 nucleotides. It is a transcript of the gene named vacuolar acid trehalase, with no coding region annotated. Lineage: Eukaryota; Viridiplantae; Streptophyta; Magnoliopsida; Malvales; Malvaceae. The record is from RefSeq and is a predicted model, not a curated record.
AACACUUAAACCGAAAAAAAAAACUCAACUUUAUCAAGAUAACAGAAAACCAAAGUUUUUCAGCUUCGAAAGAAUUGAAAAAUGGCUUUUAGUGUUGGGUUCUGUCAGAAUCUUCUCGCGAAGUCUCAAGCUUCUUUAAUUCCUCCUGUUUUUUCAGUUUCACAUAGUUCAGUAGUUUCUUCAUUGUCAGCUAAGAAUGCUGCAUGUCAUCACAAGAAGAAGCUCAAGCAACCCAGAGGACUGACAAGAGCAUCAGCUGAAGGACUUCCCAGUGAAUUAGUUGAGGAUUUGAAAUUUGUUCCUCUAAAUGCUGAUGAUCCCACAUAUGGUCCACCUGCUUUAUUGUUGCUUGGAUUUGAAGUUGAAGAGGUAGAGAAGAUACGACAGUUUUUAAAAGAAAUGGAUGGUGAAUUCUUGGAGAUUAUUUAUUGUACUGAAGACAUGAUUACUCGUUCACUUUGGGAAGCUGUGAAUACAAGGCAACCUAAUUUGGAAGAAGUGAAGAUUUCAAAGUCACUUCCACGGAUCUGUUUUUUCUCUGGUCUUAGUGGGGAGGAGAUGAUGAUGUUCAUUGACGCUUUUCCAGAAACUGGCAUUAUUCCCUUGGAUAUAUGCAGGAUUAGAGCCUGCUGUUUUUGCUGCUCUUGUUCCCAAUAGUGCUGAUAAACCAGUAGCUGAGUUGAUAGAUGAGAUUAUGGGAGACCAUGAGAUGCUGACUGCACAACAGUCAGGCUCCACAUAACAUGUACAGUGCAGCUUAAUGGUGGUUGGAUGCCAUGAAGAAGGGUGGUUCUCAAGGGUUCUUUUUCCAUGUGAUGCCAUGCUACAUUUGGCUACUUAAUUUAGACCUCAAUUGCUCAUCUUCACCACCGAUGUAUGUCUCAGUUACAGAAACCACAUAACCUUUGCUAUCCUUGUUUAAUUUUACUCUUAAAGCAUGAGCAGGCAAAAAUAUCCAAGCCGUACCAUCACAAUUCUUCUAAUAGAAGGCAAAAUUACCAUUCAGCCAAAGUUUGUAUGUCUUCAGCAAUUCCAAGUCAUGAAGCUUUUAUCCUUCUUUGCAA